UGGGGAAUUUUGGACAAUGGGCGAAAGCCUGAUCCAGCAAUGCCGCGUGUGUGAAGAAGGCCUUCGGGUUGUAAAGCACUUUUGUCCGGAAAGAAAUCCUUGGCUCUAAUACAGUCGGGGGAUGACGGUACCGGAAGAAUAAGCACCGGCUAACUACGUGCCAGCAGCCGCGGUAAUACGUAGGGUGCAAGCGUUAAUCGGAAUUACUGGGCGUAAAGCGUGCGCAGGCGGUUUGCUAAGACCGAUGUGAAAUCCCCGGGCUCAACCUGGGAACUGCAUUGGUGACUGGCAGGCUAGAGUAUGGCAGAGGGGGGUAGAAUUCCACGUGUAGCAGUGAAAUGCGUAGAGAUGUGGAGGAAUACCGAUGGCGAAGGCAGCCCCCUGGGCAAGUACUGACGCUCAUGCACGAAAGCGUGGGGAGCAAACAGGAUUAGAUACCCCUGGUAGUCCACGCCCUAAACGAUGUCAACUAGUUGUUGGGGAUUCAUUUCCUUAGUAACGUAGCUAACGCGUGAAGUUGACCGCCUGGGGAGUACGGUCGCAAGAUUAAAACUCAAA
Molecule: ribosomal RNA, 558 nt
Filed under: uncultured bacterium
Lineage: Bacteria
Description: partial 16S ribosomal RNA
Rfam family: Bacterial small subunit ribosomal RNA
Source: RNAcentral